UACGAAGGGGGCUAGCGUUGUUCGGAUUCAUUGGGCGUAAAGGGUGCGUAGGCGGCGCGGUAAGUCGGGUGUGAAAUCUCGGGGCUUAACUCCGAAACUGCAUUCGAUACUGCCGUGCUUGAGGACUGGAGAGGAGACUGGAAUUUACGGUGUAGCGGCGAAAUGCGUAGAUAUCGUAAGGAAGACCAGUGGCGAAGGCGGGUCUCUGGACAGUUCCUGACGCUGAGGCACGAAGGCCAGGGGAGCAAACGGG
RNAcentral lists this ribosomal RNA (253 nucleotides) under uncultured bacterium. RNAcentral describes it as "partial 16S ribosomal RNA". It matches the Rfam family "Bacterial small subunit ribosomal RNA", at positions 524 to 776 of the family's 1533-position model. The record is from RNAcentral.